RNAcentral lists this small RNA (94 nucleotides) under Mycobacterium lacus. Its description in RNAcentral is "Mycobacterium sRNA ncrMT1302". It matches the Rfam family "Mycobacterium sRNA ncrMT1302". The record is from Rfam by way of RNAcentral. Lineage: Bacteria; Bacillati; Actinomycetota; Actinomycetes; Mycobacteriales; Mycobacteriaceae.
AAGUGACCUAUCUCAAGUGCCGGAAGACGGGGUGAAAGCCGGCCGCGGACAUCGUCAGCCGCCCCCAAGAGUCACGCCGGGCCUGCCCGUGUCG